UCUCCUACGGGGGGCAGCAGUGAGGAAUAUUGGUCAAUGGGCGGAAGCCUGAACCAGCCAAGUCGCGUGAGGGAAGAAGGCCCUGCGGGUCGCAGACCUCUUUGGACGGGGAGCAAGGCCGCCGACGUGUCGGCGGAAGGAGAGUACCCGUAGAACAAGCAUCGGCUAACUCCGUGCCAGCAGCCGCGGUAAUACGGAGGAUGCGAGCGUUAUCCGGAUUUAUUGGGUUUAAAGGGUGCGCAGGCGGAGGCACAAGUCAGCGGUAAAAUCGCGGGGCUCAACCCCGCUCCGCCGUUGAAACUGUG
This 305-nucleotide ribosomal RNA is filed under the name uncultured bacterium. Its description in RNAcentral is "bacterial SSU rRNA". It matches the Rfam family "Bacterial small subunit ribosomal RNA", at positions 335 to 637 of the family's 1533-position model. The record is from RNAcentral.